Molecule: unclassified non-coding RNA, 332 nt
Filed under: soil metagenome
Description: partial contains 5.8S ribosomal RNA, internal transcribed spacer 2, and large subunit ribosomal RNA
Rfam family: 5.8S ribosomal RNA (bases 1-120)
Source: RNAcentral
GAUGAAGAACGUAGCGAAAUGCGAUAAGUAGUGUGAAUUGCAGAAUUCAGUGAAUCAUCGAAUGUUUGAACGCACAUUGCGCCCUUUGGUAUUCCUUAGGGCAUGCCUGUUCGAGCGUCAUUUAAACCUUCAAGCUAAGCUUGGUGUUGGGUGACUGUCCGCUUCACGGCGGACUCGCCUCAAAAUUAUUGGCGGCCGGUACAUUGGCUUCGAGCGCAGCAGAAACGCGAACUCGGGCCCGUCGUAUUGGCUCCCAGAAGCUAUCUUCACAAUUUUGACCUCGGAUCAGGUAGGGAUACCCGCUGAACUUAAGCAUAUCAAUAAGCGGAGGA